GGUACGCAAGGAUACAUUUUUAAAAUAAUUUUUUUUAUAUAAUUUUUAGUAAGGUCAUAUGUAUAAAAUAAAACAUAAUGCAAGAGUACAUUCAUAAAAUAUUUAGUACUAAAUUCUUUAAUAUCAAAAAGAAAAUUUUAUAUUCAUCAAAGAUUGCGUCAAAGAGCAAUCAAUUAAUAACCAGGUAUACUGACAAAGAAUUAACAACAAACAAUAACAGAGGAUUCAAUCAAAUAUUCAAGAAAAUUUAAAGAACAACAAUAAGCUAACAAAAUUAAGCAAUGACAACGAUAGCACUAAGUCAUAAUAUCCAAAAUUAAAAAAUAAAAUAAAACAACAAUAGAUAGAAAUUAAAAAAUAGAAAGAGUGAUUUUUUUAACACAUGAGAGUGAGCAGCCCUUAUAGAAAAUCUAACAAAGUAGAAAUUGGUCUAUAGGGAAUAAAUAAUGACAAUACACGCCCCAUAGAAUAUGAAGAGACAUAGAAAGAGAGGGAGAAAGAGGGAGAGAGCAUUGACCUUUGAAAAAAUAUAAAUAUAAAAUAAGAAAAAAA
Non-coding RNA from Camellia sinensis, 552 nucleotides. NCBI's taxonomy places the organism in Eukaryota, Viridiplantae, Streptophyta, Magnoliopsida, Ericales, Theaceae. The record is from RefSeq and is a predicted model, not a curated record.